CUGGCUUUCAGCCUGCUCUUCUGGAUCGCCUGGUACACCCUCAACAUGGAGGUGCCUCUUGAGAAACUGGACUUGUAGUCUGGCCCUGGGCAGAGGAGGAGGGACGUGGGCUUCCUGGCAGGUGGAGGAGCGCAGGGCUAUGCUGCCCAGCCAGGGACCAGCCCAGGUGCCAUCUGAUGGAGAAGUAGCAAACAGACGUCCUGUCUCUGCAGCACCUCCUGUAACAGAACCCACAGGAGCCAGGGGCUUUCAAAACACCCGCCAGGAUGUCCAGGGAUGGUUAUGAGGGCCAGGCUCCAUCAAGACACCCGAACCCCUGCCCCUGGCCACUGGCUGACUGCUGCUGGCGCCCCAACUGUCUGUGAGGGUCUGGAGAGCCCCUAA
This is a long non-coding RNA of Bos indicus x Bos taurus (hybrid cattle), 384 nucleotides long. Lineage: Eukaryota; Metazoa; Chordata; Mammalia; Artiodactyla; Bovidae. The record is from Ensembl.